GGAAUAUUGCGCAAUGGGCGAAAGCCUGAUCCAGCAAUGCCGCGUGAGUGAUGAAGGCCUUAGGGUUGUAAAGCUCUUUUACCAGGGAUGAUAAUGACAGUACCUGGAGAAUAAGCUCCGGCUAACUCCGUGCCAGCAGCCGCGGUAAUACGGAGGGUGCAAGCGUUAAUCGGAAUUACUAGGCGUAAAGCGAGUGUAGGUGGCUAUGUAAGUCGGAUGUGAAAUCCCCGGGCUCAACCUGGGAACUGCAUUCGAUACUGCAUGGCUAGAGUCUGAUAGAGGGAAGUGGAAUUCCAGGUGUAGCGGUGAAAUGCGUAGAUAUCUGGAAGAACACCAGUGGCGAAGGCGGCUUCCUGGAUCAAGACUGACACUGAGGCUCGAAAGCGUGGGGAGCAAA
RNAcentral lists this ribosomal RNA (397 nucleotides) under uncultured bacterium. RNAcentral describes it as "bacterial SSU rRNA". It matches the Rfam family "Bacterial small subunit ribosomal RNA", at positions 358 to 772 of the family's 1533-position model. The record is from RNAcentral.